This 18-nucleotide small nuclear RNA is filed under the name Arabidopsis thaliana (thale cress). RNAcentral's name for it is "snRNA_08092". The record is from RNAcentral. Lineage: Eukaryota; Viridiplantae; Streptophyta; Magnoliopsida; Brassicales; Brassicaceae.
CAGUUCCGAACCCGUCGG